Molecule: long non-coding RNA, 1167 nt
Organism: Vidua chalybeata
Lineage: Eukaryota; Metazoa; Chordata; Aves; Passeriformes; Viduidae
Exons: 3
Source: RefSeq, a predicted model, not a curated record
GGGACGGGAGGGGGCCGGUGCUCCGCCUGCCGCCCCAGAAUCACAGAACCCCGGAAUUGUUGGGGUUGGAAGGGACCUUUGGAGAGUCCAAGUUCAAUCCCCUGCCGAGGCACGGUCACCUGGAACAGGUGACACGGGAACGCAUACAGUUGGUUUGGAAUGUGUCCAGAGAGGGCAACUCCACACCCGCCCCAGGCAGCUCUUUCAGAGCUCUGCCACCCUCCAUGGAAAGUUCUUCCUGACGUUGCAGUAGAACUUCUUGCGCUUUAGUUCAUGGCCAUUGCUCCUCCUUGUGUCACUGGGCACCACUGAACAGAGGCUGGCACCAUUCUGUGACAUCCCUUGGAAAUAUUUGUAUGGAUCAGUGAGAUCCCCUCUCAGUUGUCUCUUUUCCACACUAAGCACGCCCACCUUGGGCAGUCUGUCGGCGUUCGAGAGAUGCUUCAGAUGCAGUACACCUCAUCAUCUCUGCAACCCUCUGCUGGACCCUCUCCAGCAGCUUCUUGUCUUUCUCGUACUGAGGGGCCUGGACCUGGCCACAGGACUCCAGCUGGUUCUUGCAGUUGUGUCGCAGUUGAAGUACAAACUCACAAUGUAAUGCUUCCAGGGGCUAGAGUGACUGAUGUGAGCGGAGAUCCCUGCAGUGAGGAAUAGCAAGGACAACCAUCCCUCCUGAUACAUCUGUUCCAAAAUUUAGACUUCACCAUCCUCAAGUUUUCUGUGGCAUGAUUCACCCAAACUCAAUAUUGACCUGCCUUCUGUAAAGGGAGCAAUUCUUGACAUAAAUAUUCUCUUGAUAUUUUCUCUUCCCAACUCUGUAAUUAAAGUCUUAAACUAACUUAUUCUAUCAUCCUGCAGCACAGGAAGAAGUCAGGAACAAACACAGAACAAUUACAAUAGAGAGGCAACUACACUUUAAAUGACUAGAAGAGAAACACAUAGUUUCCAGAAAACAGCAGUUUCCAGAGCCUUGCAUUGUACACAACUCCUCACUUUGAACCCCAAACCUCUCCUGCAGAUGCCAAAGUCGGCACAAAUACAAAAGCCUGUUUAACCCUUCCAAACACCCAUGGCAGCACCAAGCAGGCUGUGACUGGGAACCACUGCUUUCAAAAUCCCAUCCAGUCAAAUCAGGAGAAGAUUCUCAAUAAACUGAGAGAAUUAUUC